UGCGUAGGUGGUUUCUUAAGUCAGAGGUGAAAGGCUACGGCUCAACCGUAGUAAGCCUUUGAAACUGGGAAACUUGAGUGCAGGAGAGGAGAGUGGAAUUCCUAGUGUAGCGGUGAAAUGCGUAGAUAUUGGGAGGAACACCAGUUGCGAAGGCGGCUCUCUGGACUGUAACUGACACUGAGGCACGAAAGCGUGGGGAGCAAACA
This 206-nucleotide ribosomal RNA is filed under the name uncultured bacterium. RNAcentral describes it as "partial 16S ribosomal RNA". It matches the Rfam family "Bacterial small subunit ribosomal RNA", at positions 568 to 774 of the family's 1533-position model. The record is from RNAcentral.